GAUGAAGAACGCAGCGAACUGCGAUAAGUAAUGUGAAUUGCAGAAUUCAGUGAAUCAUCGAGUCUUUGAACGCACAUUGCGCCCCCUGGUAUUCCGGGGGGCAUGCCUGUCCGAGCGUCAUUGCUGCCCUCAAGCACGGCUUGUGUGUUGGGCUUCCGUCCCUGGCAACGGGGACGGGCCCAAAAGGCAGUGGCGGCACCAUGUCUGGUCCUCGAGCGUAUGGGGCUUUGUCACCCGCUCCCGUAGGUCCAGCUGGCAGCUAGCCUCGCAACCAAUCUUUUUAACCAGGUUGACCUCGGAUCAGGUAGGGAUACCCGCUGAACUUAAGCAUAUCAAUAAGCGGAGGA
Molecule: unclassified non-coding RNA, 347 nt
Filed under: soil metagenome
Description: partial contains 5.8S ribosomal RNA, internal transcribed spacer 2, and large subunit ribosomal RNA
Rfam family: 5.8S ribosomal RNA (bases 1-120)
Source: RNAcentral